RNAcentral lists this ribosomal RNA (364 nucleotides) under uncultured bacterium. RNAcentral describes it as "partial 16S ribosomal RNA". It matches the Rfam family "Bacterial small subunit ribosomal RNA", at positions 338 to 694 of the family's 1533-position model. The record is from RNAcentral.
CCUACGGUGGGCAGCAGUGGGGAAUAUUGCGCAAUGGGCGAAAGCCUGACGCAGCGACGCCGCGUGAGGGAUGAAGGUCUUCGGAUCGUACACCUCUGUCAGCAGGGAAGAACGGUCACUUUGCUAAUCAGCAGUGAAUUGACGGUACCUGCAAAGGAAGCACCGGCUAACUCCGUGCCAGCAGCCGCGGUAAAACGGAGGGUGCGAGCGUUAAUCGGAAUGACAGGGCGUAAAGCGCUCGUAGGCGGUAUGUCAAGUCAAGGGUGAAUUCCCCGCGCUCAACGUUGGAACGGCCUUUGAAACUGGCAAUCUGGAGUUUGUGAGAGGAUAGUGGAAUUCCAGGUGUAGGAGUGAAAUCCGUAGA